UAGGAAGAUGCCUAUUCCC
This 19-nucleotide microRNA is filed under the name Schistosoma mansoni. RNAcentral's name for it is "sma-miR-8420-3p". The record is from miRBase by way of RNAcentral. Lineage: Eukaryota; Metazoa; Platyhelminthes; Trematoda; Strigeidida; Schistosomatidae.